Long non-coding RNA from Vicia villosa (hairy vetch), 1186 nucleotides. RefSeq lists it as uncharacterized. NCBI's taxonomy places the organism in Eukaryota, Viridiplantae, Streptophyta, Magnoliopsida, Fabales, Fabaceae. The transcript has 8 exons. The record is from RefSeq and is a predicted model, not a curated record.
CUUUCUCUUUCACGAACUAUUUCAUUCUUCUUCUUCUACUUCUUUUUCCUUCUUCUUCCACGAAAACUAACAGAGUGAAAUUGAAGUUGGGAAGGAAACCCUAACCCUCAAUAUAUCAAAUCUCUAAACUCUUUUUCCACUUCAAGAUGGCAAACCCCUAACCCUAACGAUUGUUUUUUUAUAAACAUGUAAUAUUGGUGGAUUGCAUGCGACGGGGAGUAGAAGUUCGAUGAAUAAAUCACCUGAUUUUGAUGAUUUUAUGGCUGAGUUUGGUGGUGGUAGCAUGGUUUUCAAUAAUGGGUUAAUGCUUAUUAUGAAUUUGGACCAUUGAAGUCCAGUAAGUUAGUUUUAUAACUGUUUCAUGUAUUCCAUGUGAGGUUGUCGACAACGUUAUGGAUAUGGCUUGAUGGAUACAAGUCGGUUUGGCACAUGGUUGUGGCACUGGAAAACAGGAUGAUGAAGAUUGAAGACUUUAGAAAUUUCCGGAGUCAAUCAUAUCUGUUCGUGGACUGCUAAGAGCCUACCAUCUGCAGCUUCACUUGCUACCAUAGCUUGGAAUUUUACACUUCUUGUCAUGGGUUUUCUGCAGCUUUGCGUGGAAAGAGAAUGAGCUUCAAAUUAGAAACGCACGUCUGGUUUUACUAUCUAGAAUAAGCUUCUUCAAGGCAAAAGGUCUUUCAAGUUCAUAUGGUUAUGGCCUUCAAAAAUACCGGAAAUCUGUUGAGGCUGUUAUGAGAAAAAAUAAUAACGGAAACGGAACUCUGACCAAAUUCUCUUAACUUAAUUUUCAUUUUCCUAUGCAGCUGUAAAUGGUAGAGGGUUCAUCGCACGCGACAUUUCAUUUCGAAACACUGCAGGUCCAAAGAAGCACCAAUCAGUGGCAUUAAGAUCAGACUCUGACGUCUCUGUGUUUUACAGAUGUGGGAUAUUUGGGCCCAAUUGACUUUGCAGUUGGCAGCAUAUAUAUUGAAUCAUUCAUUCUUUGAUGCUUGGUUGUUGAAAUGAAAACAUUUUGGUUAAGGUUCUUUGCUAUGGUCUUGCAGUGGAGAAGAAGAAACAACAAAUCUGGUGCUUGGCAAGUUUAACUCGGGUCACUCUUUUACGUCUCUCAAUAAGUAUGAUAUGAUUCAUUUAUUUAAUUUUAUAUUUUUACUUUCCAUCCGGAUCAUUUUCCGUUAUGAUAUUU